CCUACGGGAGGCAGCAGUGAGGAAUAUUGGUCAAUGGCCGGAAGGCUGAACCAGCCAUGCCGCGUGAAGGUCAGUGCCCUAUGGGCGUUAAACUUCUUUUGUGCGGGAGCAAUCAUGGUCACGUGUGGCCAGACGAGAGUACCGUACGAAUAAGCAUCGGCUAACUCCGUGCCAGCAGCCGCGGUAAUACGGGGGAUGCAAGCGUUAUCCGGAUUUAUUGGGGUUAAAGGGUGAGUAGGCUGGGAGGUAAGUCAGCGGUGAAAUGCCCCCGCUCAACGGGGUGAAGUGCCAUUGAGACUGGCUUGCUGGAAUGCGGAUGACGUGGGAGGAAUGUGUGGUGUAGCGGUGAAAUGCAUAGAUAUCACACAGAACACCGAUUGCGAAGGCAUCUCACGAAUCCGCGAUUGACGCUGAUGCACGAAAGCGUGGGUAUCAAACAGGAUUAGAUACCCCGGUAGUC
This 460-nucleotide ribosomal RNA is filed under the name uncultured bacterium. Its description in RNAcentral is "partial 16S ribosomal RNA". It matches the Rfam family "Bacterial small subunit ribosomal RNA", at positions 338 to 795 of the family's 1533-position model. The record is from RNAcentral.